This 253-nucleotide ribosomal RNA is filed under the name uncultured bacterium. RNAcentral's name for it is "partial 16S ribosomal RNA". It matches the Rfam family "Bacterial small subunit ribosomal RNA", at positions 524 to 776 of the family's 1533-position model. The record is from RNAcentral.
UACGGAGGGGGCUAGCGUUGUUCGGGCUUACUGGGCGUAAAGCGCGCGUCGGCGGGCUGUUAAGUCGGGGGUGAAAUCCCGGGGCUCAACCCCGGAACUGCCUUCGAUACUGGCAGCCUAGAGGAAGGCAGAGGCUAGUGGAAUGGCGAGUGUAGAGGUGAAAUUCGUAGAUAUUCGCCGGAACACCAGUGGCGAAGGCGACUGGCUGGGCCUUUUCUGACGCUGAGGUGCGAAAGCGUGGGGAGCAAACAGG